Molecule: long non-coding RNA, 1813 nt
Filed under: Pongo abelii (Sumatran orangutan)
Lineage: Eukaryota; Metazoa; Chordata; Mammalia; Primates; Hominidae
Description: lincRNA
Source: RNAcentral
GAAAUCAGUAAAUUUAAGCAAUUUUAUUUUUCAUUCUGUGCUUCAGGGAACUACGACGGUCAACACAUAUUUAUCACACGCUGACCUUGUGCUAAGGUCUAUAGGAAAAUAAACCUCCCUGCCCGCAAUGACCUUAGAACCUAACUAAGGAUAUGGUUAAAACAAGCGCAGGAUUGGGUGAGACCCGCUCAAGGGUCAGGCGCUGGUUUGUUGGGGAGAAAUGUUGCCCAGGCAGGACAGGUGUGAAAGAAAGGGAGGAUCCUGCAAGACCGGAGGGCCCAGGAAAGUCUCAGUGAGGAGGGGGGACUUAAAGGAGAGUUUCAGGAUUGACCAUGGGUGGACAGGGCUCUACAGACCGGGAUCUUUUCUAUCCACACUUGGGGCCAGAAAGUUCUCUGUGAUGGCGGCUGUCCUGUACAAUGCAGGAGGCUCAGAGCAUCCCUGGCCUCCACCCACUCAAUGCCAGUAGCACUCCCUCCCUAGCUGUAAAUGUGUGCAGACAUUAGUACUUGUCACCUGCAGGGAAGAAUCACCCCACUGAGAACCACAUGCUGAGUCAAGGCAACAGCAUAGGAAUUGGAGCAAGCAAGAGAGCUGGUCAACACAGAGAGAUGAGCUUCAGGGGCUGCUGGAUGCACUCCAUCUGGAAGCAGAGGCCGAGGCCCCCUCCUCCUGGACUAGGGCUCACCUCGCCUCCUGACUGUAUUCUGUCUGUGUUCUUCUCCAGUCCCACCCUCUUUUCUCUUUGUCCAAAUGGCAGACUCCCUUUAAGCAAGAAUUCAUGGCGUCUCCACAUUCAGCCCUCAAGAAACUUUUAUUGAGUUGAACUAAAACCAGGCGUGUCUUAAGUGUUCAUGGCUGAUAAUGCAGGAUCCUUCAACGCUGGAAAUGCCCAGAUGAAACUUCGUGAUGAUCAACCUCACCUCACAUUUGCUUCAUUCAGUCUGUGGACCAGCAAGGAUUUUCUGUGACACAUUCAGGUUCUUACUCAUUUACAGAGUCACAGAUCUGUCAGCCUGGGAACUGGCACCCAAAUGGAAGACCCAUGCAGUUCUGAUGGGUCCAUCUGCAAGGGGAGUCACAGAAGUGUGUGAUGAGGAGAGGAAGAGAUACAACAGAUGUCUCAUGAGAAGCAGAGGGAGGACCUCAGGGACUGCCUGGCCCAGUCCCUCACUAGGUAUAAGAAACAAACUCACCCAUCCAAACCCGAAGAAUGGACUCAGAGACCCAGAGAACAGCGAAAUUGAAAAAUGGAGACAUCAAGUUCCCUAGUCACAGAGCAGCUGUGAUGGGACCCAAGUAAACAGCCCUGAUCAGAAGUGAAGAGCAACAUGUGGUACACAGGGCCUCCUCCACAAGCAACAGUCGCUGCUUGCUGUUACUGUGGGUUCCACGUUGGGAUCAGACACACCUGUCUUCAGUGGCAUGCAGUUGCAGCAAGGACCAAAUGGUCUAUUCUAAAAGAAAACAUUACAGGCAGGCAGUAGCAGACCACUGUGCUUGCAGCCCUCAUGAGAAGGCUCAGAAGACACAGGUGCUGCCCUGGGUGUGAAUUUCACGUCUAUGCUGGCUCCUCGCAGUGGCCCUUGGCAUCGGUUGGGAUCUUGCAGCAAGAUUCUUCAUCAGUUUCUCCAUCUCUGAAGACUUCUUGCCAACAGCUGUACACAGGUUUGUUCUAAUUCCCCUAAUUAGAAAUACAUGCUAAUAAAUAUCAUGUCUUUGGUAUUAAGUGGCAAUUAGAUGAAACAACCUGAAAUUCUGCUUUGUGAUACCAAGAUUGAACUUUGCUGAGAUUACUGUUUCACUGACCAAA